GAUGAACGCUGGCGGCGUGCCUAAUACAUGCAAGUCGAGCGAACAGACGAGGAGCUUGCUCCUCUGACGUUAGCGGCGGACGGGUGAGUAACACGUGGAUAACCUACCUAUAAGACUGGGAUAACUUCGGGAAACCGGAGCUAAUACCGGAUAAUAUAUUUAACCGCAUGGUUCAAUAGUGAAAGACGGUUUUGCUGUCACUUAUAGAUGGAUCCGCGCCGCAUUAGAUAGUUGGUAAGGUAACGGCUUACCAAGGCAACGAUGCGUAGCCGACCUGAGAGGGUGAUCGGCCACACUGGAAUUGAGACACGGACCCGACUCCUACGGGAGGCAGCAGUAGGGAAGCGUCCGCAAUGGGCGCAAGCGUGACGGAGCAACGCCGCGUGGGUGAUGAAGGUCUUCGGAUCGUAAAACUCUGUUAUUAGGGAAGAACAAAUGUGUACGUAAGUAUGCACGUCUUGACGGUACCUAAUCAGAAAGCCACGGCUAACCACGUG
This 497-nucleotide ribosomal RNA is filed under the name uncultured bacterium. RNAcentral's name for it is "partial 16S ribosomal RNA". It matches the Rfam family "Bacterial small subunit ribosomal RNA", at positions 28 to 507 of the family's 1533-position model. The record is from RNAcentral.